CAUGUUUCCUAGUAACGCAGGCGGGGCAACGGCACUUCCGGCCGUAGCCCCUGUGGCGCUGGCGGCGCCUACCGCCGGCUCCGGAGGGUUUGGUUUAGAGGAGAUUGGUAUUCCUGGACGGGAUUAUCUCAGGGAAGCGCUUACUUCAUGCCAAGAUCCUCUCAAGGCAAUUGAGGAUUUCCAGAUAGAGAACGGUGUUCUGCUUCCCUCACUCCGUCCUAUGCUUCCUCUUCUAGACCUACACGGCAUUAAAAGAUUAGAUUUCCACAACUCGGUGCUCGAAGACCUAAGGGAUAAAUUGAUUGCUCAGAUAAGUGAGCUUGGUGAUACAGAAGGAAAGGAGAAAGAUAAAAAACUCAGAGAUUUGCUUUCUAAAAGCUUUCCUGUUAUUCAGAUAAAGGAGGUGAGACCGGUAGUAAUGAGUAUUCUAAAGAACAUGUCCUAUAUUGAGGAUAGGUACCUGAGGUUUCUAGUGAGGGAUAAGGAACUGUAUGCGGACUGUGACAUUGAGAUAAAACGUCAUCUUUGGCGGGAUAAUCAGUCUUUGUUUGGUGACGAAGUGUCACCGUUGCUUUCACAAUACAUCAAGGAUAAGGAAAAUGUGCUAUUUACCCAUGAGACAGGAUCUGGUUUCUUCAGUGGUUCUCCUAAGAGCCGGCGACAGUCAGAAGUAAUCCAGAAAUUGGCUGAGAUGAUUGGAAACCAUGUGAAACUCUACGAUAUGACACUUCAGUUUUUGCGUACACUGUUCCUGAGAACUAAAAACGUACACUAUUGUACGCUUAGAUCGGAACUUCUGAUGGCUCUUCAUGACAGAGAAGUUCAGGAUGUUAUCUCUGUUGAUCCUUGUCACAAGUUUACCUGGUGUUUAGAUGCUUGUAUCAGGGAGAGAAAUGUUGAUGUGAAGAGGUCUAGAGAACUUCAGGGGUUCCUAGAUGCUAUCAGGAGGGGACAGGAACAGGUUUUGGGAGACCUGAGUAUGACAUUGUGUGAUCCUUUUGCGAUCAAUUUCCUCUCCCAGUCCGCCAUGAAGCUUGUUAACUUCCAGGUUGAGAAGGAGGCCCUUCCUAGAGAUCAACCCGUUCUUCAUCUUCUUCUCAGAAUGUUGGCACUGGGAUUAUCUGCCUGGGAUAUGAUUGAGACUCAGGAUUUCAGGGAACCAAAGAUAGAACUCCCGCUUCUUGUCCAGUUUCUCCCGGCCAUGAUGUCUCUAAUCGUCGACGAUCAGGUUCGAGCAUUGAACUACAAGUUUCCAGUGGAGGAGAGAGAUACUGCCAGUAUUAUUAUAGAUCAUUCAGGACCCCCGCCAGAUAUGUACGAUGUACAGGUGUCCCAGUGUCCUAUUGCUACAACUAUGGCAAUGCAGUACACUCUUCAGACAACAAGAAAUAAGGACAAGAUUGGAGUAAUGCGUGUUCUUGGUAUACUGGCACAAAACAUUAGAGGUCAUCCCUUUGAGGAUGCCUUCCUGCACAGUUUAGUAACUUCCUUGAUAGUUAUGAAGGAUGAGUUUGAAAAUGAGGAUUUCUGUACCUCAGUGUUUGAUGAAUUUUUCUUUACCUGUAUUAAUGUUGAUAAUGUUAACAGACAUCUGCUGAGAUUGUUAUGGUGGAUUCAUCCGAAACUUCCUGCAGCAAGAACUGAUACACUUUUAAAGGUGGCUGAACCUAUCUCUGGAGUUGAUACUGUUGUUAGUCUUUAUGAAACUCUACGGGACAAAAUGUUAUCUCGGCAUUCUCACUCCCCCCAACAAGACAGUUUGACACCGUUCUAGCUCUUCACAUGACAUCACCAGCAACAAAAGCCACAAAAGCGUUUUGGAAUUCCAUCAGCAAGGCAAUAGUAAAAAAUUGUUACUGUCUGUAUUCAUGUAGUAAAUGAUGUACUCUUAAAACGUUGUCCCUAACUGUAUCAUUCCAGCACACGUAAAACUUUCAAAUCUUACAAACUAUAUAUACAUAAAACAUGAUGAAAUAAAUCACAACAAUAUUUUAAUACACUCCCCCAGAAGAAGGUUUGAUUUAUUUCCUAAUGGUCCUGGAUGACAUCUAGAGGGUCUCCUAUUUUGAUGUUUUUUUAUGCAGUGUUGUUUUUCGUCCAUCUUCUUAUCCUGCUUCCGCAUUGUUUUCACUUCUCGUAUCUUAUCUUGUACUUCAUAUUGUCUGUGUUUUAACUUCUCUUUUUCUAGUCUCUGCAUUAGCAGUUCCUAAAAUCUUUCUUCUUCUUUACUUUCCAUUAUUUGUGUUGAAUGUCUCCCCCCUAUCUUACUUCCUAUCACUUAACAUGUAAAACUUUCCAGAGAUAUUAUAAAUAAACUGAAAAACAAUGA
Eurytemora carolleeae is the source of this 2329-nucleotide RNA transcript. It is a transcript of the gene named negative elongation factor B, with no coding region annotated. The record is from RefSeq and is a predicted model, not a curated record. Lineage: Eukaryota; Metazoa; Arthropoda; Copepoda; Calanoida; Temoridae. The transcript has 24 exons.